This is a long non-coding RNA of Nicotiana tabacum (common tobacco), 1201 nucleotides long. RefSeq lists it as uncharacterized. NCBI's taxonomy places the organism in Eukaryota, Viridiplantae, Streptophyta, Magnoliopsida, Solanales, Solanaceae. The record is from RefSeq and is a predicted model, not a curated record.
CUGUAAGAAUUAGCAAAAACCAAUUAAUGGAUGGAUCCAACAAUGAGUUCUAUAGAAGUUAGUAUAAUUAAAUUUAAAUAAUCUAUAUUCUUUCAAAUUCAGAACUCACAAUGUUUAAAUUUUGAAACAAUAUUUUGCAGAAAUACAAGGUAAGAUUACGUACGAUAAACCUUUGUAAUCCGACCCUUUCACAAACCACGCACGUAGCGGGAGCUUAGCGCACCCUUUUCAAAUCAUUAAAAGCCUCUAUAUAGUGACAAGAGUGCAAACAAGGGGAGGAAAAGGAAAAAGUAAAGAGGGGAAUUUAUAUAUAUAUAGGAGUAGUAGAUGGAGGGGAGAUUCACGAGGGACAUCCAUCCAUUUUCUGCAAAACCCAAAGCAUGCAUGCUUCUUGUGUGUUUUGUGUUGCAUCAGCCACACCGAAGGCAAAAAGCCCCACUUCCUUCUUAUACCUUAAAAUGCUUCCUCAAAUAGACUAUUACCCUUUCUUCAUUAUUUGCUCUUUCUUGAAUCCAUUCUUGUUAUAGAGUAUAUAUUUGUAUAUUGGUUUUUGAGAGGUUGAAGCUGCCAGCAUGAUCUGGUACGAACAAAGUCCAUUUCUUGCUAUAUAUAUAUUUUCUUGCAAAGAAUAAUCUUGAGGUGUUUUGGGUUUGAAUUUAGCUAAGUGAUUUGGAAAAGAAAUUGGAAUUUUGCAAAGUUUUUAUUGAAAGAGAAUAUAGGUAGCUUUCAUGGGUUUGGUUCCAUCAGGUCAUCUAGCAGCUUCAAUCACUCACCACCAAUACAGAAACAAAUUAAAAGGCUUCAUUUGAGCUUGACUUACUCUCUCAAGGAUAUAUAGUCAAGACAUUGAUUUAUCUCAGGCUGGUGUGAAGGAUCGAAAUCGAUCCCGUAAUAGAUCAGAUCGAAGCACGAGGAUACGACACCGAGUUCAGAUUCAGGGUACCUAGGAAGGUCGAAACCGAUAAUGAUCGAGGUUGAGCAGGACAAACAUCGAGCAAGACCGUGACUAGUCGAAAAUCGUGACGAAAAUCUCGGAACAGAUCAAAUCAAGGGUGGUUGUUUAGUUAAUCAUGAGAUUUACUUCCAUAAUUAGAAUUGUACCAUAGAUAGGAUUCCUGUACUAUAUAAAGAUGGUUCUAAUUAUUUGUAAGACAGAUUGUUCUCACGUAUCAAAGCAAUGUAACACUUUCUCCUUAGCUCA